AAACAUGUCUUUUUGAGUUGAAUUUAAGGUCUGACCUGCCCACUGAAUAAUUUUAAAUGGCCGCAGUAUUUUGACUGUGCAAAGGUAGCAUAAUCAUUAGUCUUUUAAUUGAAGGCUGGUAUGAAUGGUUGGACGAAGUAUAAUCUGUUUCAUAUAAAUUUGUAAUAGAAUUUUAUUUUUUAGUAAAAAAGCUAAAAUUUUAUUGAAAGACGAGAAGACCCUAUAAAUCUUUAUAUUUAAUAUUAUUAUAAUUUUUUGGAUUUAUUUUAUUUUUAUAAUAUUGAAUAUUUUGUUGGGGUGAUAUUAAAAUUAAAUUAACUUUUAAUUAUUUAAGAUCAUUAAUUUAUGAAUUGUUGAUCCAAUAUUUAUUGAUUAUAAGAUUAAGUUACUUUAGGGAUAACAGCGUAAUUUUUUUUGAGAGUUCAUAUUGACAAAAAAGUUUGCGACCUCGAUGUUGGAUUAAGGUAUAAUUUUGGGUGUAGCUGUUCAAGUAUUAAGUCUGUUCGACUUUUAAAUCCUUACAUGAUC
Molecule: ribosomal RNA, 528 nt
Filed under: Anastrepha sp. 2 dentata group USNM ENT 00745042
Lineage: Eukaryota; Metazoa; Arthropoda; Insecta; Diptera; Tephritidae
Description: partial small subunit ribosomal RNA
Rfam family: Bacterial large subunit ribosomal RNA
Source: RNAcentral